Long non-coding RNA from Strongylocentrotus purpuratus (purple sea urchin), 1985 nucleotides. RefSeq lists it as uncharacterized. Lineage: Eukaryota; Metazoa; Echinodermata; Echinoidea; Camarodonta; Strongylocentrotidae. The transcript has 3 exons. The record is from RefSeq and is a predicted model, not a curated record.
UUACUGAUUACUUUGUCUCGUGUCAGGCUGUGUGUGGACAUCAGGAACGGUUGUAAAGUGUUUCUGACGGUAAAACUAUUGGAUGCGUAAAAUAUUGGAUGAAUAACCUGAUCUUGGAUUAAAUUUACCCCUGUGAUGCUACAAGGCACCAGUUUGGAAAACAAAUUCAUGAAAAAUGGAGCACAUUACUGUAGGAAAUCUGUCAUAUCUUAUCAAAUCGGCAAAAUGUUAUUCUGUAAUAUUUAACUAAGCUUAUGGAACAGCACGGUAAAAGAAAAAUAAAUUUUCAAUACCAUAUAUGGCCGUCGGAGACUCAAACUAGCGGAAUCACGUGUAGCCUUCGUUUGGAGUUAGUUUAUUCGACUGCAUUUAGUGGAGCCAAAUACAAGAACGGAGAACUAAUCAGAGCAUGGGGGACAUUCGAAUAACUACAUCUGGCCAAUCGUCAGGACGACGUUGAUAUCGUAACGGAAAAAGCAUGGGCAACCUUUGAAUAUCUACAUCUGGCCAAUCACGGAGCUCGGAGGGCAGUGAUACAUCAGGAGAUGUGCCCCUAUACAUAAAUGUUGACAAAAGACUUAGACAUUAAUUUUGAAUGAAAAUUCUAUCAGGAAGUCGCAAAAAGAAAGAAGAAAAAAAAAGGAUUAUCGGAAAGCCGAAUACAGAUGAAUCGCAUGACAAAGAUGCUCAAAGAUAACCGAGUUUUAUUCUCUUGAAAGAGAAUCGAAAUGCUACAGGGGAUGAUGUAAGAUGUCAACAAAUAUGAAGCGUAAUAUAUAUUACAACAAUUUUACGGUUCUGCAGCUUCUUGCGGUCAUAUUUUGCUCAGCGUCAGUUUCUACAAUUAAAUGAAGUAUUAUCCUGACCCAGGACCAAACACUAUGACCUACCUUGACCUAAGAAUUCCGCACCAUCUGGGAGAUGUGUGAUGGCUUCUGCUUCAUGACCUGAAGCCAGAUCUUCCUAUCUUGCGAUGUUCUGGUCGCUUCUGUGAAGGAUCCCAGACAUCUAGUAGCACAAUCAGCCUUUACACAAUCUAACCAUUUCUUGGCUGGUCUACUCCGUGGUCUAUCACCAUGAAUAUUAGAAGUUAGGAGUAUAUUUGGGUAUCGUGUUGGUCUCAUCCUGUUAACGUGGCCAAAGAAUCGCAGCCGUUUUUUUGUUGCUAUUUUGUCCAGACUGGUUUCGUCAAGUCCUAGAGUCUUUCGAAUUGUUGUGUUUCUUAUUCUGUCUAGUCUGGUUACACCCAAGAUUUUUCGGAGGCAGAUCAUUUCGAAGGUAAGGAGCCUGUUCUCAUUUUCUUUUUUUCAGUGUCCAUGUUUCUGAUCAAUACAUAAGGAUGAAUAGGAUGAGUACCUUAUAUAGUUCAAGUUUUGUGACAUCUCUAAUAUCUUUGGCUUUCAAUAUGCUGUGAAGACUUUGAACAGCACCCAGGGCUUUUCCAAUCCUAUUCUUUAUGUCCUCUGUACAUUUUCCUGAUUGAGUGAUGGUGCCUCCCAGGUAAAUAAACUUUUCCACCUGUAGUAAUUUGGUUCCACCUAUGCUGAUGUUAAUGUCUUGCUGCCGUUUGCUGAUGACCAGGACCUCUGUCUGGGCAAUAUUGAUUUUGAGGCCAAAGUUUGAGCUCCACUGGUGUACACAAUGUACAAUUUGAUUUGAUUUGAUUUAUUGGUUUCAUAACAAUGGACUGGAGAUCUAUCUCGUUGCAUGCAAGAAGAACUUUGUCGUCAGCGAAGCGGAGGUUGUUGAUCAGAUGGCCUUGAAUGUUUGUUCCAAUAGGGGUGUCAUAGGUGGCAUGUAACAUAACCAUUUCUAGGAUGAUUUUGAAGAGCUGUGGUGAUAAUACACAGCCCUGGCGUACGCCCACAGUUGUUGGAAACCAGUCUGUAAGUUCUCCAUUUACCCUGACUGCACUUGAUGAGAUUUUGUAUAGUGCUUUUAGGAGACAGAUGAGCUUAUUGGAGUACAGCCAAAGAAUCUCAUAA